AGAUCAAAUUGUUGGUCGUGCCUUGGUACGUACUGGCAUUAUUGGUUUCUCCCUUCUGAAGAACCAUGAUGUCAUUAAUUUGGUGUCAUGGGGAAUCAGGACUGUUACUUUGAAAAAAUUAGAGUGUUUAAAGCAGACUAUCGUCUGAAUACAUUAGCAUGGAAUAAUGAAAUAGGACGGACUGAUUCUAUUUCGUUGGUUUCUAGGAUCACCGUA
RNAcentral lists this ribosomal RNA (216 nucleotides) under Campeiostachys nutans. RNAcentral describes it as "Elymus nutans partial small subunit ribosomal RNA". The stretch from base 38 to 216 matches the Rfam family "Eukaryotic small subunit ribosomal RNA", at positions 685 to 864 of the family's 1831-position model. Lineage: Eukaryota; Viridiplantae; Streptophyta; Magnoliopsida; Poales; Poaceae. The record is from RNAcentral.